UACGUAGGGUGCGAGCGUUAAUCGGAAUUACUGGGCGUAAAGCGUGCGCAGGCGGCUUUGCAAGACAGAUGUGAAAUCCCCGGGCUUAACCUGGGAACUGCAUUUGUGACUGCAAGGCUGGAGUGCGGCAGAGGAGACUGGAAUUCCUGGUGUAGCAGUGAAAUGCGUAGAUAUCAGGAGGAACACCGAUGGCGAAGGCAGGUCUCUGGGCUGACACUGACGCUCAUGCACGAAAGCGUGGGGAGCAAACAGG
RNAcentral lists this ribosomal RNA (253 nucleotides) under uncultured bacterium. Its description in RNAcentral is "partial 16S ribosomal RNA". It matches the Rfam family "Bacterial small subunit ribosomal RNA", at positions 524 to 776 of the family's 1533-position model. The record is from RNAcentral.